Molecule: ribosomal RNA, 467 nt
Filed under: uncultured bacterium
Lineage: Bacteria
Description: partial 16S ribosomal RNA
Rfam family: Bacterial small subunit ribosomal RNA
Source: RNAcentral
GACGAACGCUGGCGGCGUGCUUAACACAUGCAAGUCGAACGGAAAGGCCUCAGCUUGCUGGGGUACUCGAGUGGCGAACGGGUGAGUAACACGUGGGUGAUCUGCCUUGCACUCUGGGAUAAGCUUGGGAAACUGGGUCUAAUACCGGAUAUGAACUGCCUUUAGUGUGGUGGUUGGAAAGUUUUUUCGGUGCAAGAUGAGCUCGCGGCCUAUCAGCUUGUUGGUGGGGUAAUGGCCUACCAAGGCGUCGACGGGUAGCCGGCCUGAGAGGGUGUACGGCCACAUUGGGACUGAGAUACGGCCCAGACGCCUACGGGAGGCAGCAGUGGGGAAUAUUGCACAAUGGGCGGAAGCCUGAUGCAGCGACGCCGCGUGGGGGAUGACGGCCUUCGGGUUGUAAACUCCUUUCGACAGGGACGAAGCUUUUUGUGACGGUACCUUUAUAAGAAGCACCGGCUAACUACGUG